GAGAUUCUUAAAAACAUGUCCCUGAGAAGCCUUGCCUAGGAGAACCUUCUUCUAAGGAGUUUUCAGGAUCUCUGAAAAUGGGUGUCUUAUCAUUGUCUGCAUGCACAGACUGAAAACACUGUCCACUUCACACUGAAGUCAUGAAGAUUAAAUGAGGCAAUGGAUUUGACAUUGGUUCAGAAGACUCCAUUUGCCAGCACACUGUGAAUAAAGCCAUCUCUCUAGGACUGAUUCCCAGUCACUAAGCUCAAAGAAGUCAUAUGGAUGGGUACUCUCCCAUGCAGACAGACAUAAGAACAGAAGUCAAAUCAAAACCAGAAGUCUAUUUGGCGAGUAUGGAAUUAAAAUGAGCAAAAUUAAUUCUUUUAGACAAAUCUUUUAGUCCAGCAAGUACUCAUGAAACCAUACCCACAGCAGAAUUUGUCUUGCCAAUAGAAAUACCACAAUUAAGUGCAUAGACACAAGACUACAAACUUUUAGACAGCUCUAGAUGGGCGCUGCCAAAAUAAGCAGAGGUAUCAAGAGUCAACAGCCAAGGAAAACAGAUAUAUACUUGAUGACGCCAAUAAUGAGAAAUUUGCAAAAAAUAGUAUAACUCAAAAAGGGAGAUAAACACACAGACAGGAAGGCAAAGAUUUGAUUCAUUAAUUCUACAAUGUGGCCUCAACACAAGAAACACCCUUAUUUCAGCACUUAGGCAAAAAAAUCCUUCAAUGAGUCUGCAAUAUUGAUUGCAUGAUCCAGAAGAAAUAUUCUGGUUAUGGUAUACAUGAGAAUGGAAUCUUGAAGAUCUUAGAGUUUAUCAUAUUUGAGUGAAAAUAUGCCACUCAACUUUAAAAAUCCAGAGAGAAUAAAAGGCAUGUUAUGGACAAGUCUAAUUUGCUACAAAAUCUUAUUAUUUUUAUCCAGAUGCAUGAGGUUAUCAUAACAGUAAAAUUGAGAUAUGGAGGGUAAUUGGAAGGUUGCUUACCUGUAACCAAGAAAGUAGAUAGGCCACUUCAACAUCAUUUUUACUUAUUUAUUCAAUAAUUACAGUGACUAUCACUUUUGCAUUUUCAUCUAUUCACUUGUAUGAAUAAGGUAUGGGGCAUUUCUUUUUUUUAAUUUUUUUUUUGCGUUUUAUUUCCCCAAUACAUAAUUUUUUUCCUACUGUACAGCAUCGUGACCCAGUUACACAUACAU
Molecule: long non-coding RNA, 1182 nt
Filed under: Sus scrofa (pig)
Lineage: Eukaryota; Metazoa; Chordata; Mammalia; Artiodactyla; Suidae
Description: lncRNA (ENSSSCG00025011859.1)
Source: RNAcentral